UACGUAGGCGGAAUAAUAAGUCAGUGGUGAAAUCCUGCGGCUCAACCGUAGAACUGCCAUUGAUACUGUUAUUCUUGAAUGUAGUUGAGGUAGGCGGAAUGUGUAAUGUAGCGGUGAAAUGCUUAGAUAUUACACAGAACACCGAUUGCGAAGGCAGCUUACUAAACUAUGAUUGACGCUGAUGUACGAAAGCGUGAGGAGCGAACAGGAUUAGAUACCCUGGUAGUCC
Molecule: ribosomal RNA, 229 nt
Filed under: uncultured bacterium
Lineage: Bacteria
Description: partial 16S ribosomal RNA
Rfam family: Bacterial small subunit ribosomal RNA
Source: RNAcentral